GGUUUUCUCAGCACCCCCCGCACCUGCUCGCCGUCGCCUGAGCCCUGUAACGAAUCACUGAAGGAGGAAUGUUGUUUUUGCAACUGAUUUGGCACCUGAGCCCAGCGCGGGGCAACGACUGAGAGACAUCAGACUAUGAAUCACAGAAUCACGGAGCUUUGUAGGGGGCGCCGUGCGUUCUCCGGCCGUGGGAUCUCGCUGGAGGAGUGGCCGGGUCGCCGGACCCCCGGUCUGGAGGGUGCCUGCUUCGAUCUCCGGUUUUCCCAUCGCCCUCACCCCUCCCCCGCCCCGCAAAGGUAUCACUAGCAAAGGCUAACCUGCACCACAAGGGCAGCAGCAAGGAACACCAGGCCUGGGGGAGCAUGUGGAAUCCCAGAGCAUCUUCACUCCUCAAGUUAUUGCCAUAGAUGGGGCUGGAAGAAGAUUUCUCGACCGAAUUUGCAGCAUUGCCUCGGCCCCACCUGAGCCCUUUAGCCGCAGUCACCACGCAAGUGGAUGCAAAUCCUGGAUUUUUUACGCGGUAAAGCAGCAGCUCCUCCUGCUCCGCAGCCCCGACGGGCGUUACUGGUUGCCGAGCGACACCCGCCGGGCUCCGCCCCCUGCAGCACCGCGGCGCCGCGGCCUCUCCCGUCAGGCCCCGCGGGUUCCGGCCGCUGCCUCUCAGUGGCUGCUCCCGUCAAAAGGGCGGAGGCGGGGAAUCUGAGCGGGGUUUGUGGCUGCGCGGUCUGAGAGCGGAGCUGAGGCGCCAUGGCUGUCUCCGGCUGCAUGAAGUCCCUGCUGCUCGCAGCCCCGGGCGGCCGCGACCCGCCCAACGCGGCGUUGCUGCAGCACGGCCUGGAGGUUAUCUCUGGACAGAAGCUUACAUGCUUAUUUGCUUCAAACCAGAUUCUACCAAGUGAAUGUCUCAGUUGCCUGGUAGAACUCCUUGAGGAUGCCAAUACAAACCCAUCUCUCACCUUGUCUGUGGUUACUUUGCUACCACAGCUGGGUAAGGUUUGCAUCUGAACUUUUUUUCUUGGGUCUGGGAAAGGGCAGACAAGACAGGUGCUGAUUCUGUGGCAUGGGUGAUGAACCUCUUGGAAAAAGCAUAAGGUGAGACAGAUGAAGUUUUUGUAGUGCAGUGCAUGGCUGAGCCAACGGACAGUGUGUACUAGGACAGGUAAGAUGUUGACUCACCCUGAGAAGCAGAUCUGAAGUCACCUCUGUGAGAUGGCGAUGAUCAUGCUUGUGAGAAUUUGCUUCGUCACUGGGUAGGAUGAGGAAUUAUUCUCUUUUCCUUGAUUUUUGGAGCUUGAAGGGACUACCUUUUUUAAUGAAGUGGAUAAACGUGCCUAGGAGAUGCAAAGAUUGGGGUAAUCCACAUUGCAUCAGCAACUGUCAUCACUCAGUUACCUCUGCCAUUGGAGUGUUUCCUGAGCGGCAGUUUGGGCUCUCCAGUGCGCUAAGCCUGUGUGCAUCAAGUUUCCCAAUUACAAAACAGGUUCUCCUGCCUCUAACUUGUUUCUUGAGAUGCAUUAUUUCUCCUUUUCACAGAAUUGGGACUUAAUUGUUCAGGUAGCUCUGUGCCCACCAUAACCUACAUAUGUAGGUUACCUAUACAGGGAAAAAAACAAAAUCCCUUCCCUGCUUAGUUUGUUAGCACGUAUGAGUAAUUAUUGAAGAUGUGAGUCCUUUAUGAUGAUCUCUUGUUUAUCUCCUCUGGUUCCUGGAGUUUUUAGCAUCUUUGAGCUUCCUUUUAGAUUUUUGAAACAGUUACUGUAAGAUUAUGUGGGUUGCUGGGGUUUUUAACUUCUCCAACCUGCUGGGUCUGGAAAAUUUUAAGAAUUAGUCCCUCUCCAACUGAUCUGUUGCUUUGCCUGUCAUCCUUGUUUGCUACAUCUUUUCCAGGACUGCCUAAGCAGAACUGGCAUCUUUAAUUUAGCUCUUGCUAGAUAACUCUAUCAAGGAAUCAGUUUUAAUCUACUUGUCCACCCUAGUGUGAAGCAAGACCUUUAAGUUCUUAUAUCAGGUAUUUAUGAGAUAUUUAGUUUCAGCUGCUAUGCUACGCUGUGAUUUUUGUCAUACUUAUGUAUAUUAAUUUAGUAUUAAUUCAAUUAUGUACUGAAAGGAUGCUGUAUGAAGGACUUGACUACCAUUAGAUCUGCUGGCAGUCUUCACAGCAAACUUGUUUUCCUCUAAGCAUAAUUUCUGCGUGAGGUUGCAAAGCUCUUUUUGCAUUUUGGUGAAACUCGUAGAUCUUUCAACAGGAUAAAGCCCCUUCGUCCCUGACAGAGUGGAGACCUUGUUGAUGAGGCAAAGUGGAAAAUUGGAUGGUCUGAAAAGGUAAUGUCUCUGUCAAAAUAAAACCUUAUGCAUCUGUUUGGGCUUUUAAUAAGUACAUCAUUGUGGCAGGACAUGACCCAGUAGGCUCACGGCAGCUUGUGUAAUUGUUAGGUUAACAUCACAUGGUCUGAAAAUGAAUUCAGUUGUGGUGUCUUGUUAUUUCUCCUUUCGGUUCCAGCUUUUGUUAAUUUGUAACAUUCUUCAGUGAGAUGCUGUAGGAAAGACACAUGUGAACAGCUUUUUAUUUCCUCAGAGCAUUCAGUUGCUGCAGAGGCUAACCUACAAUGUUCCCAUGUUUUGUGCUGGUGCUAACAUAGAUGAAUUAAUUUCAUUUCUAGUGCAUCAUGUGUGUGUACUCAGUUGUCUUGUCUUAUGGGAAAUACCUGGCUGAGAUUCUCAAGUUUCUGAAGGCCGUUUGCAUAUUGCACUAACCUGGUCUCCAGAGUGAGCUGUCGCAUUUUUGCUCUGAAGUAAAGAGUGUUUUUUCUUUGAAAACCAUGUUGUUACAGCCUGUCAAAUGCAGUGGUUGUGGGACUUUCAGUGGCUGGAUACUAACUGGCCUCCUAGCCCACCCCCAUGCCCCAGGGAGCUGUCAAAGAGAAGAACCAGGGGAAAAUUCGUGUUUGUCAUUAGGAACAGGCUUAUGUUAGCUUAAAAUGACUUUUGUGCAAGGGUCCUUGUAAGAGAUCUAGUGACUAUUAAAAGCACCUGCAAUAAAGGACAUUGGAUAA
Long non-coding RNA from Columba livia (rock pigeon), 3053 nucleotides. RefSeq lists it as uncharacterized. The record is from RefSeq and is a predicted model, not a curated record. NCBI's taxonomy places the organism in Eukaryota, Metazoa, Chordata, Aves, Columbiformes, Columbidae. The transcript is spliced from 2 exons.